This 394-nucleotide long non-coding RNA is filed under the name Anser brachyrhynchus (Pink-footed goose). RNAcentral's name for it is "lncRNA (ENSABRG00000015397.1)". The record is from RNAcentral. Lineage: Eukaryota; Metazoa; Chordata; Aves; Anseriformes; Anatidae.
GCUAUAGCUUACAUAGCUAAAAUAAACAGCAUGUUGUUUUUUUGGCUUUUUUUUUCAGCAUAAAGCAGUGCUGUGAACAAGCAAGGAAAAUAAGUGAAAGGGGAGGAAGUACUUCAGCCUGAGGAGAGCAUUCUAGGGAGCUGCAAGCAUGCACAGUUGUUGCAAGAAAAGCAGGAUCCCACUUGAGUCAAGAACUGCCAGCUAAAACUGUUCUUUCCUGGGAACUUUCCCUGGACUCAGAAAGAGUACCUGCACAAAGAGGUGAAGGUGAUUCUGUUCGUCUGACGUCCCUUCUACCAACCAGAUCUUCUUGAAUUUGAGAUGCAUCAUAUAAUGCAGAUGCUUAGAAAUGGUGAAUCCAAAGCUGGCACACUGUUUAUUUUAUUUUGUUGCA